AGCCGGGCGAACCCUGGUCGUACCUCGUUUUCUCUCGUUGCCUCACUACCGGUCCCCGCCCUCCAGCUGCGUGGGAAAGCCGCGCGUGAACCGCGGCCCCGCCCACCCGUGAGAACCUCGGGGGAAAGGAAGUGCGUGUUUGCCGGAGUUCCUGGUUCAGAGCGGGAGGCCGAUUAAACCGUUGAACGUUUUUGUCGUUCCCGACUGCCUUCCUUUUUCCCCCCGCACCCAGGCAGAGCAUGGGCUCCGAAGGCAAGGAUUCGCCUCGUCCUGAGCCUGCAGCUGGGGCUGGCUCUCGACUUGGGCCGAGGCAGCCCGGGCUGGAGGGGGCUUGGCGGGGAAGCCGGCACCUGAUGUCUCAGUUCGCCAUGCCCCCCACAUCUGACGUGUUGAGUCAAGAUGAACUGCGAAAAAAGCUAUACCAGACGUUUAAGGAUCGGGGUAUACUGGACACGCUCAAGACACAACUCCGGAAGCAGCUGAUUCAUGAAUUGAUGCACCCUGUCGUGAACGAAGAGGUGCAGCUCCAGUCCGUUCCAGUGGAAGGGAGUGCCCUCCUGAUAGGCACCUCUAACUCUCUGGUGGCAGAUCACUUGAAGAGAUGUGGCUAUGAGUAUUCGCUUUCUGUUUUCUUUCCGGAAACUGGUGUGGCCAAAGAAAAGGUAUUUACUAUGCAAGAUCUGUUAGAACUCCUCAAAAUCAACCCUGAAUCCGGUCUCUACAAAUCACUGAUGUCAGGAUUUGAUAACAAAAACAAAAAAGGUUUUCUCAUGGAGUUUUUAAAAGAAGUGGCAGAGUAUCAUCAGUCCAGAGCGAGCUGUGAUGUGGGAACUCAGACAAGUUCCACGUUGCCUGGCCAAGACUCACUUGUGGAGAAGCUUCAGCUUAUUGAUGAUCAGUUUGCAGGUGCUUACCCUCAGCGUCCAAAGUUAGAAUGCUUAGAAGUAAAGUUAAAUGAAUAUAAAAGAGAAAUAGAACAGCAGCUUCGGGCAGAAAUGUGUCAAAAGUUAAAGUAUUUUAAAGAUACUGAAGUAGCAAAAAUUAAGAUGGAAGAGAAAAGAAAGUCUGAGAGGGAAUUGGCUGAGUUCCGGAACGAAUUGGAGAGAGCUUGUCGAGCAAAAUCUGACGCCCUUAUUUCUCGGGAGAAGUUGGCUUUUGAGAGAAUUCAGAAGCACCAAGAGAUUGAAACCAAGGAGAUUUAUGCUCAGAGACAACUUCUCCUCAAAGAUAUAGACAUGCUAAGAGGCAGAGAAGCAGAGCUGAAACAAAGAAUGGAAGCUUUUGAAUUGGCUCAACGGCUACAAGAAGAAAAAAAUAAAAGAGCAACUGACGCCCUUAGGAAACGGGAGUUGAAUGUCCAGAAUAUCGAGGAGACCUAUGACCAAAAGCUCAAGAAUGAGCUGCUCAAGUAUCAACUUGAACUCCAGGACAACUAUAUUGCUAGAACUCACAGGCUGAUAGAAGAUGAAAGGAAGAAUAAAGAAAAAGCUAUACAUUUGCAAGAGGAGCUCACAGCUAUUAAUGCGAAAAAGGAAGAAUUUGGUCAUUCUGUAAAACGUGUCAAAGAGCUCGAGCUGGAGUUAGAGUCGGUCAGAACCCAGUCUUUGGCGAUAAGCAAGCAAAACCACCUGCUGAGAGAAAAGGUGAAAGAAAUGAGUGACUAUUCGCUACUGAAACAAGGGAAACAGGAGCUUCAGGCGCAAAAUAAAUUACUUAAACAACAGCUGGAAGAGACCAGAAGUGAGAACUUGCGUCUUCUAAACCACCUGGCUCAGCCUUCUCCAGAGCUGGUGGCUUUUCAGAAAGAACUAAAGAAAGCAGAGAACGCUAUCGUGUGUGAGCAUAAGGAGUUCGAGACCCACAGGCAGGCCCUGCAGAAGCAGCUGCAAAGUGAAAUUGAACGUUCUGCACAGCUGAAGGCCCAGAUCCUCGAUUACGAAGAUUCCGUAAAGAGGUUAACGAGAGAGGUGGCCGAUUUGAAAUUGCAACUGACACAAACCCAGACGGCCCUAGAGAACGAGGUGUACCGCAACCCAAAGAACUCUCUGCUCGAUCGGCCCAUCAGCGGAUUAAUGGGUGGCAACGUGGUGGUACCUCACAACGGUGACCUGAACGGGGAUUUCUUGAAAGAUGCUUUCGGACUGGAAAGGCUGAUGGCAGGCAUGCUUCUGUCGAGGAUCGCAAGUGACCCAAGUGCGAGCGCCGGGAGUAGUUCCCCUGAUUCUGACCUGGAGUUUGUAGCCAAGACCAAGGCAAGGGUGAAAGAGCUAGAGCAAGAGGCCGAACGUUUGGAGAAAGCUUUCCGAACUUACCAUCCAAGGGUUCAUCCACGCCCCACGGGAAGGUCUUCAGCCAAGAGCCCGCCACCCCUGCAUGCGACAGGAACGCUCAAAAAGACCACUUCCGGCUUCCCUGGAAGACGUACUUCCGCAGAGGACGCGGCUGUCCCCGAGCAGCCUCUGGCAGGCACACCCGAGGAGGACAGGAGCAGCGCUUCGGCUUCUGAGGCGCGGCCGCGCAAGGGCACGCCCUCCAGACGCCUCUCCUCCACUUCCCUGCCCAAGGCCAAGAGGAGCCUCCUUGCUAAAGUGUAUCUGGAAGGUGGGGACAGAUCCCGUGCUGCUGGCUGCAUUCCUGGUCCUGAGACAACGCCCCAGCCAUCACCCUCUGAGUCCGGGCACAGCCCUUCCCUCCACCUGCUGCCCAGCCCUCCGGAGCAGGCCAGUCUUCAUCAGAGACAGACAGAACUUGAAGAACAAGGAGAACUUUCAGAUCCAGACAAGCUACCUUUUAAGGACAAUGAGGAAUUUGGAUCAUCUUUUGAAUAUGCAGGGAGCACGCUGAGGCAGUUUGAGGUGGACGGCCUCCAUCCUGCUGGCGACGUGCCUCACGUGGGUGCCGCCGCCGCCGCGGUGUCUGCCGGACCUCUCGCUUGCUGCCACCCUGGUACUGUACGUUACAAUAAAUGGCUUCUUAAAUUACUAUUAAACGGUGGGGUUACGUUUUGAUCGUUGAGGAACUCUCAGAUCUGUUGUUGUUUCACGUCGUCUUCUGGGCGCCAAGGGAGGUAAAGCCUAAAACUUACUAUCUUUGUGCCAGUGGAAACCGUGCUUUUCUUGGCUCUUCCAUCCGAAGAGGUUUCCCUCUGCCACUCUGGAGCCACCAAGUACACCUCGCAGCGAAGGAGCCCUUUCCUCAUUGUCUCUUGAAAUCUUCCCCCAAACGGCAUCCUCGCCCUGAGGUCGCCGCUCCGUACGAGUGACGUGCCUCCAGCGAGGAGGCUGCGUUUCUGCCUGUGCAAGUGGCCAGCGGCCGCCUCUGGGGUUCGAAUUUCAUGACCAGGAUCAAGUGGAGACUGUGCUGCCGCUCUCCUGUGGGAGACGCUAACUUUUGGUUGGUGACUAGAGCACAGCCACGAGGCUGGAAGUCCCGUCGUGAAUCUGUGCUUGUCUGUGUUAGCCUUGCUGCGAAAGCUGAGGUUCUGGACCAGAGCUGGAGGAGAGAGGUCAGCGUAGUCCUCUGUGGAACUGAGAUCAAGUUAAACACGUGAGGCGUGGGGACGUGUGUUGGCAGCCUAGAGAACAGGCGAUUCAAACCCGGACCUUGGCCGGAAGGGACAGAAGUAGGGAGACGGGUGCUUAUGGGUCUUGACAAGGCAGGGACAAGGUACUGUGUGAAUAUGGCGCUGAAGGGGCCACUUGUCACUGUAGGAAUGAGGAGCUCACAGAAGAUGUGGCAUUCAGGUGAGGGCUGGCAUCCUGGGUGGGGCUUGGGGGAAGGGAGCACAUCUGCUUGAGGAGGACGUGCGAGCGGGUAGCAGGGCAGACGGCGCUGUACUCGGGCACCCGUGUGCGUGCCGGUGCCUAGACAGGAGGUUUCGGACGUGAACGUUCAGGUGAUCCAGGAGGUCAGGCAGGAAGGGAAAAGGCAGUUUGGCACUCGACCGCCACGGGUUUGGAUUCCACCGGAGCGGAGCGUGUGCACAGCACAUCCGGAAGUGACUGGUGCUCACGCAGGUGAAGGUGGGCUGCCUGGAGGCCUGGAGAGACCUUGGUCACGGAGACCCUUGACCAAGUGAUGUCGGCCACCCGGGUGAACGGUGAUGAGGACCUGAACUGCAGCAGGAGGAGGAAGAGGAAAGUGUGUAGAUCAGAAACCAGUGGGAGAACAGAAGGAAGAAGAAAAAAUAUGGGAACAGCACAUGACAGAACAAAAGCAAAGAGAAGAAAUAAGGAAGAGUGAACUGCAAGAAGCUUUAGAAAGGGAACGAAGAGAACUA
RNA transcript from Neofelis nebulosa (Clouded leopard), 4279 nucleotides. It is a transcript of the gene named OFD1 centriole and centriolar satellite protein, with no coding region annotated. NCBI's taxonomy places the organism in Eukaryota, Metazoa, Chordata, Mammalia, Carnivora, Felidae. The transcript is spliced from 21 exons. The record is from RefSeq and is a predicted model, not a curated record.